This 267-nucleotide unclassified non-coding RNA is filed under the name Hymenogaster sp. RNAcentral describes it as "partial contains 5.8S ribosomal RNA, internal transcribed spacer 2, and large subunit ribosomal RNA". The stretch from base 1 to 52 matches the Rfam family "5.8S ribosomal RNA", at positions 103 to 154 of the family's 154-position model. The record is from RNAcentral. Lineage: Eukaryota; Fungi; Basidiomycota; Agaricomycetes; Agaricales; Hymenogastraceae. RNAcentral also lists the same sequence under 2 other names.
AACGCACCUUGCGCUCCUUGGUAUUCCGAGGAGCAUGCCUGUUUGAGUGUCAUUAAAUUCUCAACCUUAUCAGUUUAUUUCUGAUAGUGGCUUGGAUGUGGGGUUGCUGGCUUGGUCAGCUCCCCUUAAAUGCAUUAGCUGGUGCCCUGUGUACUUGGUGUGAUAAUUAUCUACGCCAUGGAUUAGCACUGCUUCUAACCGUCUGUUAAUUCGGACAAUAGAUGACAAUUUGACCUCAAAUCAGGUAGGACUACCCGCUGAACUUAA